This 253-nucleotide ribosomal RNA is filed under the name Sorangiineae bacterium. Its description in RNAcentral is "partial 16S ribosomal RNA". It matches the Rfam family "Bacterial small subunit ribosomal RNA", at positions 524 to 776 of the family's 1533-position model. RNAcentral also lists the same sequence under 2 other names. The record is from RNAcentral. Lineage: Bacteria; Pseudomonadati; Myxococcota; Myxococcia; Myxococcales.
UACGAAGGGUGCAAACGUUGCUCGGAAUUAUUGGGCGUAAAGCGCACGUAGGCGGCAUUGCAAGUCGGAUGUGAAAUCUUAUGGCUUAACCAUAAAAGUGCAUCCGAAACUGCAGUGCUUGAGUACUUAAGAGGAUCGCGGAAUUCCCGGUGUAGAGGUGAAAUUCGUAGAUAUCGGGAGGAACACCAGUGGCGAAGGCGGCGAUCUGGGAAGAUACUGACGCUGAGGUGCGAAAGCGUGGGGAGCAAACAGG